CUUCAUUUACUCUCGACUGAGUGAACUCGGAGCAAGCCAGUUCCUCCUCCAAAACCUGUAAACCUGUGAAAAUGUACUAAGAGAGGCGUUCGACUAUGGUGGUGGCAGUCUUAGAUUGUUGUUUUCCUGACGAUUGGGUUCACGGCGGAUUUUGAUCAUACAGUGAGGAGGUAGACCACUUUCACCCUCCCUCAAGCUUUGGAGUGAUGACAACUUAACAUGCUUUUGAUGUCUCAAACAAUCAAAUCGAUGAAUAAGCAAUUU
Papaver somniferum (opium poppy) is the source of this 264-nucleotide long non-coding RNA. RefSeq lists it as uncharacterized. The transcript is spliced from 3 exons. NCBI's taxonomy places the organism in Eukaryota, Viridiplantae, Streptophyta, Magnoliopsida, Ranunculales, Papaveraceae. The record is from RefSeq and is a predicted model, not a curated record.